Molecule: transfer RNA, 72 nt
Filed under: Camelus bactrianus (Bactrian camel)
Lineage: Eukaryota; Metazoa; Chordata; Mammalia; Artiodactyla; Camelidae
Also listed under: 2 other names
Rfam family: tRNA
About the family: Transfer RNA (tRNA) molecules are approximately 80 nucleotides in length. Their secondary structure includes four short double-helical elements and three loops (D, anti-codon, and T loops).
Source: Rfam by way of RNAcentral
GAGAGUAUAGCUCAGUGGUAGAGCCCGUGCCUAACAUGCAUGAGGUCCUGUGUUCAAUCCCCAGUAAAUCCA